CGUAUGUCCCAAGCGUUAUCCGGAUUUAUUGGGCGUAAAGCGAGCGCAGGCGGUUAUUUAAGUCUGAUGUGAAAGCCUACGGCUCAACCGUAGAAUUGCAUCGGAAACUGGAUGACUUGAGUGCAGUAGAGGAGAGUGGAACUCCAUGUGUAGCGGUGAAAUGCGUAGAUAUAUGGAAGAACACCAGAGGCGAAGGCGGCUCUCUGGACUGUAACUGACGCUGAGGCUCGAAAGGUGUGGGUAGCAAACAGGAUU
Molecule: ribosomal RNA, 255 nt
Filed under: uncultured bacterium
Lineage: Bacteria
Description: partial 16S ribosomal RNA
Rfam family: Bacterial small subunit ribosomal RNA
Source: RNAcentral